RNAcentral lists this ribosomal RNA (571 nucleotides) under Juga plicifera. RNAcentral's name for it is "partial large subunit ribosomal RNA". It matches the Rfam family "Bacterial large subunit ribosomal RNA", at positions 1808 to 2626 of the family's 2925-position model. The record is from RNAcentral. Lineage: Eukaryota; Metazoa; Mollusca; Gastropoda; Semisulcospiridae.
CAAAAACAUGGCUCUCUGUUUACAUAAAUAUAGGGAGUCGAGCCUGCCCAGUGAAUUUUUAAACGGCCGCGGUACUCUGACCGUGCAAAGGUAGCAUAAUCAUUUGCCUUAUAAUUGAAGGCUAGUAUGAAUGGUUUGACGAGAGCAACACUGUCUCCUUUUUAUUUUCAAGAACUUAACUUUUAGGUGAAGAGGCCUAAAUUUUAUUGAAGGACAAGAAGACCCUAUCGAGCUUAAAAGACAUUAUAGAAGUUUAUAUAUUUCUAAAUAGAUUUUCUAUUGAGCUUUUUAGUUGGGGCGACUAAGGAACAAAAAAAGCUUCUUGCUAAUAAUAGACAGUCAUGUUUAGAUCCGAUAAUAAUCGAUCAAAGAAAUUAGUUACCGUAGGGAUAACAGCAUAAUCUCUCUUGAGAGACCUAAUCGAAAGAGGGGGUUGUGACCUCGAUGUUGGACUAGAAUAUCCUAAAGAUGCAGAAGUCUUUGAAGGUCGGUCUGUUCGACCGUUAAAAUUCUACGUGAUCUGAUUUCAGACCGACCUUCAAAGACUUCUGCAUCUUUAGGAUAUUCUAGU